RNAcentral lists this ribosomal RNA (619 nucleotides) under uncultured bacterium. RNAcentral describes it as "bacterial SSU rRNA". It matches the Rfam family "Bacterial small subunit ribosomal RNA", at positions 338 to 951 of the family's 1533-position model. The record is from RNAcentral.
CCUACGGGAGGCAGCAGUGGGGAAUUUUGGACAAUGGACGCAAGUCUGAUCCAGCCAUGCCGCGUGCGGGAAGAAGGCCUUCGGGUUGUAAACCGCUUUUGUCAGGGAAGAAACGAGUUUCUCUAAUACAGAGACUUAAUGACGGUACCUGAAGAAUAAGCACCGGCUAACUACGUGCCAGCAGCCGCGGUAAUACGUAGGGUGCAAGCGUUAAUCGGAAUUACUGGGCGUAAAGCGUGCGCAGGCGGUUAUGCAAGACAGAUGUGAAAUCCCCGGGCUCAACCUGGGAACUGCAUUUGUGACUGCAUGGCUAGAGUACGGUAGAGGGGGAUGGAAUUCCGCGUGUAGCAGUGAAAUGCGUAGAUAUGCGGAGGAACACCGAUGGCGAAGGCAAUCCCCUGGACCUGUACUGACGCUCAUGCACGAAAGCGUGGGGAGCAAACAGGAUUAGAUACCCUGGUAGUCCACGCCCUAAACGAUGUCAACUGGUUGUUGGGAGGGUUUCUUCUCAGUAACGAAGCUAACGCGUGAAGUUGACCGCCUGGGGAGUACGGCCGCAAGGUUGAAACGUCAAAGGAAUUGACGGCGNGAGAGAGCGAGACGACGACGAGGGAGGAGG